This 673-nucleotide ribosomal RNA is filed under the name uncultured Pseudomonadales bacterium. RNAcentral describes it as "bacterial SSU rRNA". It matches the Rfam family "Bacterial small subunit ribosomal RNA", at positions 69 to 736 of the family's 1533-position model. The record is from RNAcentral. Lineage: Bacteria; Pseudomonadati; Pseudomonadota; Gammaproteobacteria; Pseudomonadales.
GGAAAAGUAGCUUGCUACUUAACCUAGCGGCGGACGGGUGAGUAAUGCUUAGGAAUCUGCCUAUUAGUGGGGGACAACAUCUCGAAAGGGAUGCUAAUACCGCAUACGUCCUACCGGGAGAAAGCAGGGGACCUUCGGGCCUUGCGCUAAUAGAUGAGCCUAAGUCGGAUUAGCUAGUUGGUAGGGUAAAGGCCUACCAAGGCGACGAUCUGUAGCGGGUCUGAGAGGAUGAUCCGCCACACUGGGACUGAGACACGGCCCAGACUCCUACGGGAGGCAGCAGUGGGGAAUAUUGGACAAUGGGGGGAACCCUGAUCCAGCCAUGCCGCGUGUGUGAAGAAGGCCUUUUGGUUGUAAAGCACUUUAAGCGAGGAGGAGGCUACCGAGAUUAAUACUCUUGGAUAGUGGACGUUACUCGCAGAAUAAGCACCGGCUAACUCUGUGCCAGCAGCCGCGGUAAUACAGAGGGUGCAAGCGUUAAUCGGGUUUACUGGGCGUAAAGCGCGCGUAGGUGGCCAAUUAAGUCAAAUGUGAAAUCCCCGAGCUUAACUUGGGAAUUGCAUUCGAUACUGGUUGGCUAGAGUAUGGGAGAGGAUGGUAGAAUUCCAGGUGUAGCGGUGAAAUGCGUAGAGAUCUGGAGGAAUACCGAUGGCGAAGGCAGCCAUCUGGCCUA